UACAGAGGGUGCAAGCGUUGUUCGGAAUUAUUGGGCGUAAAGGGUGCGUAGGCGGGUCUUUAAGUCAGGGGUGAAAUCCUGGAGCUCAACUCCAGAACUGCCUUUGAUACUGAAGAUCUUGAGUCCGGGAGAGGUGAGUGGAACUGCGAGUGUAGAGGUGAAAUUCGUAGAUAUUCGCAAGAACACCAGUGGCGAAGGCGGCUCACUGGCCCGGUACUGACGCUGAGGCACGAAAGCGUGGGGAGCAAACAGG
Molecule: ribosomal RNA, 253 nt
Filed under: uncultured bacterium
Lineage: Bacteria
Description: partial 16S ribosomal RNA
Rfam family: Bacterial small subunit ribosomal RNA
Source: RNAcentral